Molecule: ribosomal RNA, 448 nt
Filed under: uncultured bacterium
Lineage: Bacteria
Description: partial 16S ribosomal RNA
Rfam family: Bacterial small subunit ribosomal RNA
Source: RNAcentral
UUCCAGACUCCUACGGGAGGCAGCAGUGGGGAAUAUUGCACAAUGGGGGAAACCCUGAUGCAGCGACGCCGCGUGAGUGAAGAAGUAUUUCGGUAUGUAAAGCUCUAUCAGCAGGAAAGAAAAUGACGGUACCUGACUAAGAAGCCCCGGCUAACUACGUGCCAGCAGCCGCGGUAAUACGUAGGGGGCAAGCGUUAUCCGGAUUUACUGGGUGUAAAGGGAGCGUAGACGGUGAAGCAAGUCUGAAGUGAAAGGCGGGGGCUCAACCCCCGGACUGCUUUGGAAACUGCUUGACUGGAGUGCAGGAGAGGUAAGUGGAAUUCCUAGUGUAGCGGUGAAAUGCGUAGAUAUCAGGAGGAACACCGGUGGCGAAGGCGGCCUGCUGGACUGCAACUGACGUUGAGGCCCGAAAGCGUGGGGAGCAAACAGGAUUAGAUGCCCUCGUAGU